RNAcentral lists this ribosomal RNA (440 nucleotides) under uncultured bacterium. RNAcentral's name for it is "bacterial SSU rRNA". It matches the Rfam family "Bacterial small subunit ribosomal RNA", at positions 330 to 792 of the family's 1533-position model. The record is from RNAcentral.
GCCAGACUCCUACGGGAGGCAGCAGUGGGGGAUAUUGCACAAUGGGGGAAACCCUGAUGCAGCGACGCCGCGUGGGUGAAGAAGCGCCUCGGCGCGUAAAGCCCUGUCAGCAGUGAAUUGACGGUACCUGCAAAGGAAGCACCGGCUAACUCCGUGCCAGCAGCCGCGGUAAUACGGAGGGUGCGAGCGUUAUCCGGAUUUAUUGGGUUUAAAGGGUGCGUAGGCGGAAUGCCAAGUCAGCGGUAAAAUCGCGGGGCUCAACCUCGCUCCGCCGUUGAAACUGGCGUUCUUGAGUGGGCGAGAAGUAUGCGGAAUGCGUGGUGUAGCGGUGAAAUGCAUAGAUAUCACGCAGAACUCCGAUUGCGAAGGCAGCAUACCGGCGCCCAACUGACGCUGAAGCACGAAAGCGUGGGUAUCGAACAGGAUUAGAUACCCGAGUA